RNAcentral lists this ribosomal RNA (263 nucleotides) under Pantoea sp. Its description in RNAcentral is "partial 16S ribosomal RNA". It matches the Rfam family "Bacterial small subunit ribosomal RNA", at positions 55 to 315 of the family's 1533-position model. Lineage: Bacteria; Pseudomonadati; Pseudomonadota; Gammaproteobacteria; Enterobacterales; Erwiniaceae. The record is from RNAcentral.
AUGCAAGUCGAACGGUAGCACAGAGGAGCUUGCUCCUCGGGUGACGAGUGGCGGACGGGUGAGUAAUGUCUGGGGAUCUGCCCGAUGGAGGGGGAUAACCACUGGAAACGGUGGCUAAUACCGCAUAACGUCGCAAGACCAAGUGGGGGACCUUCGGGCCUCACACCAUCGGAUGAACCCAGAUGGGAUUAGCUAGUAGGUGGGGUAACGGCUCACCUAGGCGACGAUCCCUAGCUGGUCUGAGAGGAUGACCAGCCACACUG